This is a long non-coding RNA of Lolium perenne, 861 nucleotides long. RefSeq lists it as uncharacterized. The record is from RefSeq and is a predicted model, not a curated record. NCBI's taxonomy places the organism in Eukaryota, Viridiplantae, Streptophyta, Magnoliopsida, Poales, Poaceae.
GAUUCGCGAAAGAGUAUCCCGACCCAAGCUCUUCCCCUUUCCCCUUAUCCUCUCGCUGUCCGCUCCUUUUCUCUCUUUCUCCGUGUGAAAUCGCUACGGGAGAGCGUCCCCGUCGCCGACGAACACAAGGAGCACCGCCAGGCUGCUGCCGCCAAUCGCGAGCGAGAGGGCUUCCGUCGCUACCGCCGGGAACGCCGCCGGAGAUGAGCACGCAGCAGGGAGGGCUCCUCCGCCGUCGAGCUCGAGGAGGCGCCGUUGUGAGGGCUCCGCCAAGCGCCGCGACGAGCGCGAGGAGAUGACUUCCGUCCCUAAUACGGGGACGCUGCGAGCCGACGAGAUGAAGCAGGGAGUUCUCCGACAGGCCGUCGGGACGAGCGCGAGGAGAGGGCUUCCGCCGCUACCGCGGGGACGCCGGCGACGAUGAGCACAUAGCGGAGAGGGCUCCUCCUCCGUUGAGCUCGAGAGGCGCGGCGCAGGGAGGCCUUCUCUACGUCGCCGUGACGAGCGCGAGGACAGAGGACCUCCGUCCCUAGUCCCUACUGCGGGACGUCGCCGUCGACGGGCAUGAAGCGGGGAGGGCUCCUCCAAGCUGUCGCAAUGAGUGCGAGGAGACGGCUGCUUCCUCGCCGGGACGCCGCCGCCGAGCUCACAUCGGGGCUUUCUCUGAGGUCGCCAUAUUCCUCCCCAGGCAAUAAUGUUCAGCAACGGAGCAAAAUCAAAGACUGGGGAAAUCUGCUGACAAUGUCGUAGAAUGAUGCAAGACUGAACCUAUGUAAUAAUAGACUAGAGCCAUGACAUUUAUUAUCGAUGUGCACCUUACUGUAUUUAAGCAUUUUUCAAUGUCAGAUGCGUUCGCAGCAA